RNAcentral lists this ribosomal RNA (253 nucleotides) under uncultured bacterium. Its description in RNAcentral is "partial 16S ribosomal RNA". It matches the Rfam family "Bacterial small subunit ribosomal RNA", at positions 524 to 776 of the family's 1533-position model. The record is from RNAcentral.
GACGGAGGAUGCAAGUGUUAUCCGGAACCACUGGGCGUAAAGCGUCUGUAGGUGGUUUAAAAAGUCCACUGUUAAAGAUUGAAGCUUAACUUCAAAAAUGCCGUGGAAACUUUUAAACUUGAGUAUGAUAGGGGUAGAGGGAAUUUCCAGUGGAGCGGUGAAAUGCGUAGAUAUUGGAAAGACCACCAAUGGCGAAGGCACUCUACUGGGCCAUUACUGACACUGAGAGACGAAAGCUAGGGGAGCAAAUGGG